This 602-nucleotide long non-coding RNA is filed under the name Chinchilla lanigera (long-tailed chinchilla). RNAcentral's name for it is "lncRNA (ENSCLAG00000027554.1)". The record is from RNAcentral. Lineage: Eukaryota; Metazoa; Chordata; Mammalia; Rodentia; Chinchillidae.
GGGCUGCUCGGCAGGGGUCGGGGCAGAUUGGAGCCUCACAGGUGGGACGGUCGGGUCUGAGGCCCAGGGCAGGUGAGGGGCGGGCGCUGGGACUGGACGUCUAGACUUGGUGGCCUUGGACUCUGAGAAGAAACGUGGCGUCCCCAAAACUCUUUAAGCUUGGGUUUUCUCUUCUCCAGGAGGGGCCAAGGGAAGAAAGCUCGCGGGUUGCAUGCCUAAGAAUAGUUUAUGAGGUUUCCCCUCCGGUUCUUUAACCGGCUGCAGUUGCUCUCAGCUCAUUUCUCAAGAGGACGUGAGUGUGGUUUGGAACACUGUUUUAGCGGCUCUCACUGCUGAAGAAACUAGAAAGGAAUUUUUUUCUGUAGUGCAUUAGAAUGUAAAGAAGACAGUAAAAUUUACUCUUAAAGUAUGUUUGAAUGUAUAUAAAACAUUGAUUAAAUAUUUAAGUGCAAAUGUGUGUUCAAAAGAAGUAUUUAUAAUUGUUAUAAAUAUAAGAUUUAUAAUUGUUAUACUUUGUGCAUAUCAUCCUCUAACCUGUGCCUAGAAACUAAAAUCUUAUUUUCCAAUGUAGCAGUUGUUGCCUAUAAAGUUUUUUUUGGUAC